CCUACGGGGGGCAGCAGUGAGGAAUAUUGGUCAAUGGACGGAAGUCUGAACCAGCCAUGCCGCGUGCAGGAAGACGGCUCUAUGAGUUGUAAACUGCUUUUGUACAAGGGUAAACCUGAAUACGUGUAUUCUGCUGAAAGUACUGUACGAAUAAGGAUCGGCUAACUCCGUGCCAGCAGCCGCGGUAAUACGGAGGAUCCAAGCGUUAUCCGGAUUUAUUGGGUUUAAAGGGUGCGCAGGCGGAUUGAUAAGUUAGGGAUGAAAUGUCCGAGCUUAACUCGGGAGCUGCCUCUAAUACUGUUGAUCUAGAGAGUAGAUGCGGUAGGCGGAAUGUAUGGUGUAGCGGUGAAAUGCUUAGAGAUCAUACAGAACACCGAUUGCGAAGGCAGCUUACCAAUCUAUAUCUGACGUUGAGGCACGAAAGCGUGGGGAGCAAACAGGAUUAGAUACCCCUGUAGUC
RNAcentral lists this ribosomal RNA (460 nucleotides) under uncultured bacterium. Its description in RNAcentral is "partial 16S ribosomal RNA". It matches the Rfam family "Bacterial small subunit ribosomal RNA", at positions 338 to 795 of the family's 1533-position model. The record is from RNAcentral.